This 460-nucleotide ribosomal RNA is filed under the name uncultured bacterium. Its description in RNAcentral is "partial 16S ribosomal RNA". It matches the Rfam family "Bacterial small subunit ribosomal RNA", at positions 338 to 795 of the family's 1533-position model. The record is from RNAcentral.
CCUACGGGAGGCUGCAGUGAGGAAUAUUGGUCAAUGGGCGCGAGCCUGAACCAGCCACGCCGCGUGAAGGAUGACUGCCCUACGGGUUGAAACCUCUUUUUAUAAAGGAAUAAAGUGAGGCACGUGUGCCUUUUUGUAUGUACUUUAUGAAUAACGAUCGGCUAACUCCGUGCCAGCAGCGGUGGUAAUACGGAGGAGCAGGGCGUUAUCCGGAUUUUUUGGGUUUAAGGGUAGGGUAGAUGGGUUGUUACGUCAGUUGUGAAAGUUUGCGGCUCAACCGGAGAAGUGCAAUUGAUACUGGCAGGCUUGAGUACAGUUGAGGUGGGCGGAAUGCGUGGUGUAGCGGUGAAAUGCUUAGAUAUCAUGAAGAACACCGAUUGCGAAGGCAGCUUACUAAACUGCCACUGACAUUGAUGCUCGAAAGUGUGGGUAUCAAACAGGAUUAGAUACCCUAGUAGUC